Chinchilla lanigera (long-tailed chinchilla) is the source of this 422-nucleotide long non-coding RNA. RefSeq lists it as uncharacterized. The record is from RefSeq and is a predicted model, not a curated record. The transcript has 2 exons. Lineage: Eukaryota; Metazoa; Chordata; Mammalia; Rodentia; Chinchillidae.
AGUAGGCUCAGUGAGAGACUCUGCAUGGAAAGAUCUUCCAUCACAGACUCGAACAGGAACAAAAUUUGACCUCACAGGAUGAAGACAGAUCAGGGAAAACAAACAUUUAGGAAGAAGUCUGUCUUGUGGAGAAGAAGGACAAAGGAACACGUAUCGCUGGCGGGACUGACCUUUUGCAAGUUUGAUAGACACCAGCCUUAAGCCUCUGAGAGCACUUCUCCACCAUCCCCUCCCCAAGGCUGUCUGCUAUGUACUGGCUUACUUUCCUCCUUUAAAACACAACACCUUCUUUAAGUCAGUCUAAAGAUGUUUGCCAGCUUUGCAGUAAACUUGCUAGAUGGCAUUUCUCUUGUUAUACCGUGUUAUGUCUUGUAAUGUUUGAAAUUUGUUUUCUGGUAUAAAAAUAAAUAUGUGUGCAUGCA